UAGAUAGAUACACUAGUUUUUUUUACUACUAGUUAGUUAAACUUAGAUCCUUUCUUCAAAAUCAUCACGAUGACCAAACCUGAAAGACCACCGUCAAGCCGCACCAACCUCGCCUCAUGUGUCGUCGCCACCAUUUUCUUAGUCUUCGUCUUCAUCAUCAUCUUCACUCUUUACUUCACACUUUUCAAACCACAGGAUCCUAAAAUCUCCGUCACCGCCGUCCAACUCCCUUCCUUCUCCCUCACAAACAACGGCACAUCAGCUAAUUUAACUUUCUCCCAAUACGCUUCCGUUAGAAACCCUAACAGAGGAACGUUCUCACACUACGAUAGCUCCUUUCAGCUUCUCUGCUAUGGAAGACAAAUCGGUUUCAUGUUUGUUCCCGCCGGGAAGAUCAAUGCGAGGAGAACGGAAUACAUGGCCGCCACGUUUACCGUUCAGUCGCUUCCGUUGGGGUUGGAGGGAAAUAGUUCUGAUGGAGUUAAUAGAGUUGGGCCGACGAUGGAGAUUGAGUCGACGAUAGAGAUGGCGGGAAGGGUGAGAGUGUUGAAUCUGUUCAGUCAUCAUGUGGAGGCGAAAGCUGAAUGCAGAGUCGCCAUCGCCGUCGCGGAUGGAACCGUUAUAGACCUCAAAUCUGAAUUUCACCCUACUAAAAUAGAAGAGCUGAAGAUGGAAGAAUAUCUUGUCAAAAUGAAGAAUCUUGGUGACAAACUGAAGCUUGCAGGUGCACCUAUGUCAAACUUUGAUUUGACGAUUCAAACACUCAAGGACUUAGACUUGGAUUACAAUUCAGUAGUUGUCAAACUAUCUGAUCAGAUCAAUCUAUCUACAGGGCCUGUGAAGCAUGAGUACUCUAUUUUAGACAAAGUACCGGUACCGGGUACACAUACGGUACUCGUAUGGUACAAUGUACCUAUUUUUUAUAUUAGAGUUUCUUAAGAGUGACGGUAAAGAUGAGGUUGGGGGAUAGAUGAACUUGGACGGGACAAUGACAUCAGUACCUUGUACUCCUCCUUCCUCGUCCAACUUUUCAUCACUUCUUUGAACAUUUACUUCAGUGGCACAGGUCAAUGAAUUUGUAUUCUUCACUACGUCGCCUUCACGAUCUAAUAUGGACAAACAGAUAUGGAAGGCUCUUCUAGGAGAGACUUAAAGAAGAUCUAUAUCAAGUGUCAAAUGCCAUCCCCCAAUCAAAUAAAGACUUAUGUACCUACAUGCCUGUCAAAGAGAGUUGGCACAAGAAGCUUAGGCACCCUAACAAUAAAAUCCUAGAUAAAGUGUUGAAACAUUGUAAUGUGAAGACCUCAUCUAGUGACCAAAUUCAAUUUUGUGAGGCUUUUCAAUUCGGGAAGCUACACAUGUUACCCUUUAAGUCAUCUAGUUCUUAUGCUCAGGAACCCAUAUAGUUAAUUCACACUGAUGUAUGGGGUCAUGCAUCAAUAAUAUCAAAUUCAGACAUUAAAUAUUAUGUCCAUUUACUUGAUGA
This is an RNA transcript of Lathyrus oleraceus (garden pea), 1486 nucleotides long. RefSeq lists it as uncharacterized. NCBI's taxonomy places the organism in Eukaryota, Viridiplantae, Streptophyta, Magnoliopsida, Fabales, Fabaceae. The record is from RefSeq and is a predicted model, not a curated record. The transcript is spliced from 4 exons.